Molecule: long non-coding RNA, 841 nt
Filed under: Oryzias sinensis (Chinese medaka)
Lineage: Eukaryota; Metazoa; Chordata; Actinopteri; Beloniformes; Adrianichthyidae
Description: lncRNA (ENSOSIG00000007583.1)
Source: RNAcentral
GGGGAUGAGAAGGAGCAGGAGGACAUUGAUGUGUCACGUCCAGGUGAAAGUCACCGCCAGCUACCUCAGUCUGCAGGUCUUCCUCUCAAAACCAUCCAUUCAGUGAAGCCUGCAUGCGUGAGCAGCGAUUGUGACGCUGGACUUCAGCCAGACAGGAGCGAGAAGGACUGUAAAAUGAAUAAUGCAAAUUUGAAGACUCUUUCCCAGGAAGAGUUGACAAAAACUAGCAAAAAACCAGUAAUGUGUUCAGUGUGCAAGACUGCGGGAGUCUCACUGCCUUCUAAUGGUCGGUCACUAGAGGGUGACAGUGAGCCACAAACAGCAAACAGUCUCAUCUUUGAACCAGUUUUAUCAAAGAAGCAGAAAAAAGGAGCUGAGAUCAAAUGCACUGAUGGUAAGAAAAAACACUACUGUUUUAUUGUCUUUAAUAAUAGAACUUUUAGAGUUUUGCAUUUUUAUUUUAGAGUUCCAGAGCAGGGAGAUAAGGGGAGUCCAAAAAGCACCAGCAGAGGAGCCUUCAUUCUUUCAAAUGCGGUGUGCAGGUUGUGUGGUACCCUUUGAAAAAGUGACAAGUCGUAACUUUGCAUCCCUUCAAAGCUUCUGCCACAGCAGCUGUGACCUGCAUCGGGUCCUCAAAGAGGCUAUGGAGCGGUUCAGGAAGGCCCGUUUGAACCAAGUGUUUAUGAAAGAGCAUCAGGAUGUCCAGAAGCAGCUCACAAACAGAAGUGCUGUGAGAGUUUCAGCUGCACAAUCCCCCAAAAACCCUCAAAACCGUAAGUCUUUCACUAUUUCCGUCUACAGAUGUGUUUUGGAUUUUGUCUACUACAUUGCUCUGCUGUGA